Molecule: long non-coding RNA, 117 nt
Organism: Sebastes umbrosus (honeycomb rockfish)
Lineage: Eukaryota; Metazoa; Chordata; Actinopteri; Perciformes; Sebastidae
Exons: 3
Source: RefSeq, a predicted model, not a curated record
UUGAGGUUCACCUGAGGAAAUAACUCUGGAUUCGGCUACUAGUGCAAUUUACAACUUUUAGUACCUAAUGAUUUAAAUAAGGGCUAUUCAAGUGUUCGUACUGGGAAGUUGAUUCAC